Molecule: long non-coding RNA, 1174 nt
Organism: Phalaenopsis equestris
Lineage: Eukaryota; Viridiplantae; Streptophyta; Magnoliopsida; Asparagales; Orchidaceae
Exons: 6
Source: RefSeq, a predicted model, not a curated record
AAUAAUGAUAUUUUAGAAAGAAAAAAAAUAUAAAUGAUAAUUAAAGGCCUGGUGAGGGUGUACAUAAAUCAGAGGAAAAUUUGCAUACAUACCUCACAAUAUUUUAUGUAUUUACAUAUCUAAUAACUAAAAUUUGAUUUUUAUAUUUAUAGCACUUCGGAUUAUGAAAACCAGAUGAAACGGCGAUGGUAGACGGAUAGCGGCCGGAAAGAGUAGACGAGGAAGGUGACUUGGGGAUUCUUAUGUUCUGUACUUUGUCGAUCUUCUUCAUAUCAAGGUAUUAAUGGUUCUGAUCCGGUUCAUUAAUUACUCAUUGCUGCUAUUUUUUAUGGGACCCUUCCUAUGUAUGAAUGUCUGUUGGGGAAUAUGGAAAGUUUUGUUGCAAGCCAAAGCUCCUCUAGCAUUCCUUUUGAUCUUGCCAUUUUCUGCGGCUGAUGAACUGCGUGGGAUGCUUUUCAUUGUAUUCUCUGAAGAGAAAGGAUGUGGAGAUGACAAGAAUAAUGGAAGAACUUUGAAAAAUUUCACUUCGCGUGCACGUGGAAUGAAAGAGGUGAUAACUGUUGCAGGCUAUCAAGCCACUGUGAUGCCCUAACUUGGAGGCCAUGUGAUCUAAAGCUCUUGCAUCAACCAAUUUUGUUCGUUGCGUUGUCAUCAUCAUGAUAUUUGAGGAGUGUUUGUCUCUGUGAAAAGGAUAUGGUGGGGAGGUCGGCCAUAUUCCAUCUGGGUCCCUUUCUGUGCUCUCUCUCAUGAAACAUUGGGUGAACUGCCACAGGUUGCCGCCUAUUAAUUACAUUACGAUUCGUGCAGAUGGGCAUGGUCGCGUUGACUUUCUGAUGACAGCGAAUUAGCCUUUUGUAAGGUGGCGAACUCAGAUAGGAACUAUGAAUGAGCAUAAACGCAAAGUUUAAUAUAAAGAAACUCAAGCUUGAACACAAUCACAAAAGCUCUAUAUGAUCUUGAGCUCGAGUCAAGCUUGAAUUUUUAAACAAACUCAAGCUUGAACAUGACCUUUACUCGACCCAGUUUGGUUCGUUUUGCAGCCCUACCUCUACGUAUUAUUGAUAGUAUUUAAAUCUGGCUUGUUUAAUAUUUUGAAUGGCAUAUUUUGCAUUUCAAACUCAUUGUCGAAAUUAAUCAAAUGUACACCACCAACACAUCCUUUAAAAAAGAAAAA